This 596-nucleotide ribosomal RNA is filed under the name uncultured bacterium. RNAcentral describes it as "bacterial SSU rRNA". The stretch from base 1 to 521 matches the Rfam family "Bacterial small subunit ribosomal RNA", at positions 338 to 873 of the family's 1533-position model. The record is from RNAcentral.
CCUACGGGAGGCAGCAGUGGGGAAUCUUGCGCAAUGGGCGAAAGCCUGACGCAGCAACGCCGCGUGGGGGAUGAAGGCUCUCGGGUUGUAAACCCCUUUCAGCAGGGACGAACCAAGACGGUACCUGCAGAAGAAGCCCCGGCUAACUACGUGCCAGCAGCCGCGGUAACACGUAGGGGGCAAGCGUUGUCCGGAUUUAUUGGGCGUAAAGAGCUCGUAGGUGGCUGAGUAAGUCGGAUGUUAAAUCCCCAGGCUCAACCUGGGACACCACCCGAUACUGCUCUGGCUAGAGUCCGGUAGGGGAGCGUGGAAUUCCUGGUGUAGCGGUGAAAUGCGCAGAUAUCAGGAGGAACACCAGCGGCGAAGGCGGCGCUCUGGGCCGGUACUGACACUGAGGAGCGAAAGCGUGGGUAGCAAACAGGAUUAGAUACCCUGGUAGUCCACGCCGUAAACGUUGGGCACUAGGUGUGGGGUCUAUUCAACGGACUCCGUGCCGUAGCUAACGCAUUAAGUGCCCCGCCUGGGGAGGUACGGCCGCGAGACGUAAACUAACUAANAUAGUAGCGNGNGAGCGCGACGACGACGACGAGGAGGAG